Molecule: long non-coding RNA, 2746 nt
Filed under: Xyrichtys novacula (pearly razorfish)
Lineage: Eukaryota; Metazoa; Chordata; Actinopteri; Labriformes; Labridae
Source: RNAcentral
AGCUUCUGGACCCCAAGCAUCUCUGUUAGAGGAACAUGGAGCAACAUCCUGUCCUGCAAUCCAGGUAAUGGUAGCAGAGCUGGUGAAAGAACCUCUUUGACCAGACUAUGACACAGUAAAUGAUCCGUAUUUUGAUACAGACAUUUGGCUGCUCACUACCACUACCAACCAAAACCACUUUAUUCGCACAACUUGAGGACUUUAUUCCCUUAAUAUUAGGACUUUACUACAACUUCGUUUGUUGACAGUGAAUACGGAUCUGGUGGAAAUUUUAGGAUAAGUUGCUGAUCUGUACAUAGUAACUCUAGUGUGCUGAUCAUGGAAACAACAGUGUAUUAAAAAUUUCCUCUUUAUUUUCAAAGGUGUGUCAAGGCUCUCCUCAUCUUCCUUCAGGGUGAGAUUACACCCCUUCACUUGGAGUCAGGGUCAAACUCACCCUGUCAGGGUUCUUACUACUACUUGACUUUAUCCCACACUUAAAUAACAAAUGAGGAACCAAGUGCAUCUGUGUUUGUCUACAGAGAAGCAGAGGAAAGGCUCUCUUGAUGCCCUGUUCUGGCUCUUCUGCUUGUUGGUUAAACUUCGCAGCUUCACACGGGGCAAUUCCUCAUAAUGAAGCUUCACACCUAUUAGAGAGAGCUGGUCUGUAGGUGAGAGCUGGUUUACUGCAAGGCUUGUGCUGCUCAGCUGCACCAGUUUUCACAAUGUUCCCCAACUUUGACGUUAAAUCAGGUUUAAAGCGAACCCUCUGACCGCUCCAUUAAUCAUCAGUUUGUCCUUCUGUCUGACCAUUCCUGGGAGGGUCAGGCUUCUUCUAAUUCCUCUACAAGCUGCCGGGUCACACAACAUAAUAUCCCAGCAACUAAUUUCUCCUAAUCCCUUUUUUAUCAGGUCGACUGGCCUUUUUUCUCAAUCUAAUUGCCACAAAGCCCACAUGAGGGCUUUUGUGCCAAAAGAAAGUUCUUUUACGGUUUCAAUUAAACGGUAGGGCCGGCCCAGUGGAGGCGCUUCGCCCAAUGCCAGUGUCCUUCAGACAAAGAGUGUCACUGCGCAUAAUGGGUAGAAACACUUCAGUGAGAAUAGAGGGAAAGAGGAGCAAGAUGUGGGGAAAAAAGGGAAACCGACCCAGCCGUUCGCCUCACAAUUUAACUCAUUUCAGAGCCAAAGGUUUGGAGUUCUUAUUCCAAGAAAGAGCACAAAGAUUUAAAUAAGAAUCUAAACUAGCCUGAGGGAUUAAGAGCUGCAGCAGGCAGUGUGUGAGGCUCAGUUAAAGUGAGUUAUGUGAAGAAGUACAUCACAGUUUCUGAAAAGGUGAACAAAGUCAAGGAUUCCAGCUUGAUGCUCUGGCAAUGGUGUAUUUCAAGGCUCGCAUUGAUUUCCUUUGUGUUUAACUCUCAGAGAACUUAAGCAACUUUGGAAUGCGUUUUUUUUUUUUUUUCAGCAGAGUAUUUUAUUUCCUUUCCUCCAGCUGCUCACAUAAAACCAGUGAAUAUCUGUACUGUGUUUCUGUACGGAAAAGUGAGCAGGUUAUAAAACUCUUUCUGUUGACUGAGGGUUUAAUCUGUGAUUAUCAGGACGGACUUCGCCCUCGCCCUGUCUGCCUCUCAGCUGAUCCAUCCAAAAAUAUCCAUCCACAUUUACUCCUGAGCUGUUGAGAUCUCCAGAUUUUCUUCCUGGAUCUUAAAUCUCUCGGAACCUAUCUGUCCACUGCAGUUGACGCCAUUUAGAGAAUAAUACUAGUCCAUGAAAUCAUGUUCUUAUGACAUUAUUUGAGAGCAAAUGAGGAACAAUAAAUAAUAAUAAAGAUACAAAGGAUAUUCUGAAAUGUGAAUACCUUCUCUAUCUCCAAACUCAUUAUUUUCAUAUCAAAGUGAUGUCCCUCACUAUGUGUGAUUUUCUGACCUCAAACAUGCACAUACAUCCCCGUUCUCAUAAAGGUUCACACGUGUGAAUGACCUGAUGAAUACAUAGAGGUAAUGCUUAAAAAAAGUGAAGUAAAUGAGAUGGGAUUUUAUUUUUGGCCUAACAGUAAAGUGCACCCCUUAGUGCAUGUAGGAGAAAAAUCACAGGGAGGUCCUUUAAACAUCCACAGUUGAACAAUAAUUUUUACCUGUCUGGAGUAGAAAGAUCUCAAUCUUAUUUCUAAGGUUCUUUGUGCAUCCACUGCUUUAUCCACUAUUUUCGAUUUACAAUAAAAAUAUCAUUUGAAAUAUAAUAAUCAUGAAUUAUUGAGGAAAAAAAUACGGGGAUUUACUCCUGUGUGGUUGAGACAUGGGGCUCUAAUUUCGUGCCUUGCCGGCACGGCUUCAGUCAGGUUCGAUGAGGAAUUCCCAAACACACUUUGGUGAUUGGAUAGUGCUAAAUUUUAGCUGAGGCAGCAGAGCCUAACCUACAUUGCCACUAGUCCGUGUGGAUUUUAUCCAUAGGAUUGAAUAGGACUGCAGACGAGAGACCACUGGCGACUCCACGCCAGUGCAACUGAUAGAAUGCCUUCCAGUGGCAGCGUAGUUAUAGCAUUCAUGUAAAAUUUCUGUCUGCUAAGGACGUCUGAACUAAGUAUGUCACCACUAAGACGUGUGACACAGACCUGUACAACACUUGUUGUCACUUUAACGAAAGUGGGGGCGUGUUUAUUUGUGUUUUCAUAUCAUUUGAGUUCAUAGAUAUACACAAGAGUUGCCAUAUUUGGGCUGACAGCUGUGCAACUGGCAAAAUGCCAGACUUUUGUGCCGUGUACUUAUGUUCC